RNAcentral lists this long non-coding RNA (176 nucleotides) under Calidris pugnax (ruff). RNAcentral describes it as "lncRNA (ENSCPUG00000012021.1)". The record is from RNAcentral. Lineage: Eukaryota; Metazoa; Chordata; Aves; Charadriiformes; Scolopacidae.
GGAAACGUGUCUCUUGUGGUCAGUGUGCAUGGAAGAGAAGUCAGAAGAUCAUGAUGUUUCACUGGUUUCCUCCAAUCUGUAAAUUCUGUACAUUAUGGUUACCUCUGCUGCGCAUCCACCUCAAGAAGGACGCUGCACUCCAUGUGACCAGUGACACAUCAGCUGUGACAUGCUGA